This is a long non-coding RNA of Artibeus jamaicensis (Jamaican fruit-eating bat), 715 nucleotides long. RefSeq lists it as uncharacterized. Lineage: Eukaryota; Metazoa; Chordata; Mammalia; Chiroptera; Phyllostomidae. The transcript is spliced from 3 exons. The record is from RefSeq and is a predicted model, not a curated record.
ACAGGAUGUAAGAGUGAGAGAAGUAUUUUAUGGUUUAUGAAACUAAAAGAGCAUCAUAUGUCUUUAGAUUAACAACUUUUUGAAGUGUAAUACACAGACAGGAAAGUGAACAAAUUGGAAGCAUAUGCCUCGAUCUCACACAUCUGUGUAUCCAGCAUCCAAUCAAGAAACUGAGUACGACUAGCUCCUUGAAGUCCCUCUGUGUUUUCUUCUAGCUAGUAUUGGCUGGUGUAUAAUUUAGUGAUAUUAAAUACAUUCACAUUAUUGUGAAGCAUUUCGACCAUCCAUCUCCAGAACUUCUUCAUCUUUUCAAACUGAAAAUCUGUGCAUAUGAAGCUAGAACUCCCUAUUCCACCUUGCCUCCAGCCCCUGGAAACCACCAACCAUUCUACUUCCUGCCUCUAUGAUUAAACUAUUUCUAAGUACCCCAUGUGCAGAGUCAACAGGAUUUGUAUGAAUUCCAAGAAGGUUAAAAACAGUCAAAUGUAAAAGCUAUGAUUUCUGUUUUGCUCUCUUCUGAACAGGUGAAGAAAUAGGUCCUGACACUCAAUAGAUUCUAUACAAUGAAAAGUUAUCAAUAUGAAACAACAAAGUACUCUCUUAACUAUGGCAGUUUUUAAAAAUAUUUUAUUUACCUAUUUUAAAGAGAUGGGAAGGUAGGGAGAAAGAGAGGGAGAGAAACAUCAAGGUCCGCAACGCAGGUAUGUGCUCUAAC